AUACAUCGGAACAUGUCCUGUAGUGGGGGAUAGCCCGGCGAAAGCCGGAUUAAUACCGCAUACGAUCUGAGGAUGAAAGCGGGGGACCUUCGGGCCUCGCGCUAUAGGGUUGGCCGAUGGCUGAUUAGCUAGUUGGUGGGGUAAAGGCCUACCAAGGCGACGAUCAGUAGCUGGUCUGAGAGGACGACCAGCCACACUGGGACUGAGACACGGCCCAGACUCCUACGGGAGGCAGCAGUGGGGAAUUUUGGACAAUGGGCGAAAGCCUGAUCCAGCAAUGCCGCGUGUGUGAAGAAGGCCUUCGGGUUGUAAAGCACUUUUGUCCGGAAAGAAAUCCUUGGUUCUAAUAUAGCCGGGGGAUGACGGUACCGGAAGAAUAAGCACCGGCUAACUACGUGCCAGCAGCCGCGGUAAUACGUAGGGUGCAAGCGUUAAUCGGAAUUACUGGGCGUAAAGCGUGCGCAGGCGGUUUGCUAAGACCGAUGUGAAAUCCCCGGGCUCAACCUGGGAACUGCAUUGGUGNNUGGCAGGCUAGAGUAUGGCAGANGGGGGUAGAAUUCCACGUGUAGCAGUGAAAUGCGUANAGAUGUGGAGGAAUACCGAUGGNNAAGGCAGCCCCC
RNAcentral lists this ribosomal RNA (620 nucleotides) under uncultured Burkholderia sp. Its description in RNAcentral is "bacterial SSU rRNA". It matches the Rfam family "Bacterial small subunit ribosomal RNA", at positions 113 to 729 of the family's 1533-position model. Lineage: Bacteria; Pseudomonadati; Pseudomonadota; Betaproteobacteria; Burkholderiales; Burkholderiaceae. The record is from RNAcentral.